GGGCGUUAAGUUGCAGGGUAUAGACCCGAAACCCGGUGAUCUAGCCAUGGGCAGGUUGAAGGUUGGGUAACACUAACUGGAGGACCGAACCGACUAAUGUUGAAAAAUUAGCGGAUGACCUGUGGCUGGGGGUGAAAGGCCAAUCAAACCGGGAGAUAGCUGGUUCUCCCCGAAAGCUAUUUAGGUAGCGCCUCGUGAAUUCAUCUCCGGGGGUAGAGCACUGUUUCGGCCAGGGGGCCAUCCCGGCUUACCAACCCGAUGCAAACUGCGAAUACCGGAGAAUGUUAUCACGGGAGACACACGGCGGGUGCUAACGUCCGUCGUGAAGAGGGAAACAACCCAGACCGCCAGCUAAGGUCCCAAAGUCAUGGUUAAGUGGGAAACGAUGUGGGAAGGCCCAGACAGCCAGGAUGUUGGCUUAGAAGCAGCCAUCAUUUAAAGAAAGCGUAAUAGCUCACUGGUCGAGUCGGCCUGCGCGGAAGAUGUAACGGGGCUAAACCAUGCACCGAAGCUGCGGCAGCGA
Molecule: ribosomal RNA, 523 nt
Filed under: Salmonella enterica
Lineage: Bacteria; Pseudomonadati; Pseudomonadota; Gammaproteobacteria; Enterobacterales; Enterobacteriaceae
Also listed under: 1 other name
Description: partial 23S ribosomal RNA
Rfam family: Bacterial large subunit ribosomal RNA
Source: RNAcentral